This 254-nucleotide ribosomal RNA is filed under the name uncultured bacterium. Its description in RNAcentral is "partial 16S ribosomal RNA". It matches the Rfam family "Bacterial small subunit ribosomal RNA", at positions 524 to 776 of the family's 1533-position model. The record is from RNAcentral.
UACGUAGGGUGCGAGCGUUGUCCGGAAUUACUGGGCGUAAAGAGCUCGUAGGCGGUUCGGUAAGUCGGGUGUGAAACCUCCAGGCUCAACCUGGAGACGCCACCCGAUACUGCUGUGACUAGAGUCCGGUAGGGGAGCGUGGAAUUCCUGGUGUAGCGGUGAAAUGCGCAGAUAUCAGGAGGAACACCAGCGGCGAAGGCGGCGCUCUGGGCCGGAACUGACGCUGAGGAGCGAAAGCGUGGGGAGCAAACAGG